GAUGAACGCUGGCGGCGUGCCUAAUACAUGCAAGUCGAGCGAACGGACGAGAAGCUUGCUGCUCUGAUGUUAGCGGCGGACGGGUGAGUAACACGUGGAUAACCUACCUAUAAGACUGGGAUAACUUCGGGAAACCGGAGCUAAUACCGGAUAAUAUUUUGAACCGCAUGGUUCAACAGUGAAAGACGGUCUUGCUGUCACUUAUAGAUGGAUCCGCGCUGCAUUAGCUGGUUGGUAAGGUAACGGCUUACCAAGGCAACGAUGAAUAGCCGCCCUGGUAGCGUGUAUGGCAACAGAACGACUGAGGCGCGAUCAAGACUCCUACGGGAGGCAGCACUAGGGACUCCGCCGCGAUGGCGCAAAGCGUGACGAAGCAUCGCCGCGUAAUUAUUGAAGCUCCGCUGAACGUAAUACGCGGUUAUUAGCGGAAAACAUAUGUGUAAGUAACUAUGCACAACUUGACGGUACCUGAUCAGACAGCCGCGGCUAACUACGUG
This 497-nucleotide ribosomal RNA is filed under the name uncultured bacterium. RNAcentral's name for it is "partial 16S ribosomal RNA". It matches the Rfam family "Bacterial small subunit ribosomal RNA", at positions 28 to 507 of the family's 1533-position model. The record is from RNAcentral.